AAAAACGAAGUUCUGGGUAAGAGGUGAGUCGGGAGGAAGUAGAGCGGAGACAUUGCUGGAACUGGCAGCAGAGGAGGUAAUGAGAUCUUAUUUCAUAUUUACAUCCAGCAAAUCCCCAUCAUGUCCGUCCUUUUCUUCCAUAGUCACUGUAAUGCCUUUUAUCUCCAACAGAUGAGGAUACACACAAGCACACUGAGAGAUAGAGAGAGAGACAUGUGAUGCCUUCAUAAAUAGAACUUCCCACUACAGGAUCAGAGUCUUGUGUGGAUCACAUCAAUGAGGAUGGAGGAGGAACCAAGUCACAUGACUGAGAGGAUGUUAGACCUCACCCUGGAGAUCAUCUACCUGCUGACUGGAGAGAGUUUUCCUCCAGUGAAGUCUGGUGACCAUCUAACUAUCACAGUGCCUUCACCUCACUCCUUGAAGCUCAAGAGAAACAAUUGCAAGAAAAUUCUAGAAGUCACCAAGAAGAUCGCUGAGCUGCUUACAGGAGAGGUUCCUAUAAGGUGUCAGGAUGUCGCUGUCUAUUUCUCCAUG
Long non-coding RNA from Rana temporaria (common frog), 537 nucleotides. RefSeq lists it as uncharacterized. The record is from RefSeq and is a predicted model, not a curated record. NCBI's taxonomy places the organism in Eukaryota, Metazoa, Chordata, Amphibia, Anura, Ranidae. The transcript is spliced from 4 exons.